GGAGCCGUGCCUGAACAAAGGGCCACUUUGAUAGAGUGAAUUACGGGGGUUAAAGUCCCCCCGGCUCCU
This 69-nucleotide transfer RNA is filed under the name Ceratias uranoscopus (stargazing seadevil). Its description in RNAcentral is "tRNA-Ile". It matches the Rfam family "tRNA". From Rfam's summary of the family: Transfer RNA (tRNA) molecules are approximately 80 nucleotides in length. Their secondary structure includes four short double-helical elements and three loops (D, anti-codon, and T loops). Lineage: Eukaryota; Metazoa; Chordata; Actinopteri; Lophiiformes; Ceratiidae. The record is from RNAcentral.